UAAGGAAUAUUGGUCAAUGGAGGCAACUCUGAACCAGCCAUGCCGCGUGAAGGAUUAAGGCCCUCUGGGUUGUAAACUUCUUUUAUAUGGGAAGAAAUGUACUUUUUCUAAAGUGCUUGACGGUACCAUAGGAAUAAGCACCGGCUAACUACGUGCCAGCAGCCGCGGUAAUACGUAGGGACCAAGCGUUGUUCGGAUUUACUGGGCGUAAAGGGCGCGUAGGCGGCAAUUCAAGUCAGCUGUGAAAUCUCUGGGCUUAACCCGGAACGGCCAGCUGAUACUGCUUUGCUAGAGUGCGGAAGGGGCAAUCGGAAUUCUUGGUGUAGCGGUAAAAUGCGUAGAUAUCAAGAGGAACACCUGAGGUGAAGACGGGUUGCUGGGCCGACACUGACGCUGAGGCGCGAAAGCCAGGGGAGCAAACG
This 422-nucleotide ribosomal RNA is filed under the name uncultured bacterium. RNAcentral describes it as "bacterial SSU rRNA". It matches the Rfam family "Bacterial small subunit ribosomal RNA", at positions 355 to 774 of the family's 1533-position model. The record is from RNAcentral.